UGCCCCGCCCCUUCCCCGCGGGGUGGUCCUGCGGCUCUUCCUGGUGUCGCCUUCGAUCCACGUUAUUUCUGGGAGCCGGCGGCUGCUGCCCAGACCAAAGGCCUCUGGACGAUUGCCACCGGCGUGCUCUCCUCCCGUGAUGGGCCUGGGCUGGCAGCCAUAGGUUUACCUUCUCUUCUGUUCUUGCUGGAAUCUGUGCUCCUGUAUCCACCUCAGUCUCCUAGGAACAAGCAGCUUUGAAGUCUUCUUGCUGUAGCUGGUGUGAGUCUCAGUCCACGACUCAGGAGGACAAGAAAUAAAGCUUCUCUCCCAAACUCCA
Eptesicus fuscus (big brown bat) is the source of this 319-nucleotide long non-coding RNA. RefSeq lists it as uncharacterized. The transcript has 2 exons. NCBI's taxonomy places the organism in Eukaryota, Metazoa, Chordata, Mammalia, Chiroptera, Vespertilionidae. The record is from RefSeq and is a predicted model, not a curated record.